Molecule: long non-coding RNA, 245 nt
Filed under: Dasypus novemcinctus (nine-banded armadillo)
Lineage: Eukaryota; Metazoa; Chordata; Mammalia; Cingulata; Dasypodidae
Description: lncRNA (ENSDNOG00000052740.1)
Source: RNAcentral
AGAUUUCACUGUGGACAGAUGGCAGCUUUGGCUGGAUCAGCUCGAUUCUUCGAAGAGAGGACAACUUUGAAAUACAUGCCUGCUCCAGGUUGACUGGAAAUGACUGACUAGAUUGCUGUGUUAAGAAGGAUUCUGAGGUCUUAUCCAGGCUCAGCAGAAAUCAGUAAGUAUCCCUCCAUGUGUGCUGUGUAAAUGCCUCUCUUUUGUUGAUGGCUGUUUGCAGGGCCUGUCCAUGCCUGUGCCUC